RNAcentral lists this ribosomal RNA (253 nucleotides) under uncultured bacterium. RNAcentral describes it as "partial 16S ribosomal RNA". It matches the Rfam family "Bacterial small subunit ribosomal RNA", at positions 524 to 776 of the family's 1533-position model. The record is from RNAcentral.
UACGUAGGGGGCAAGCGUUGCCCGGAAUUAUUGGGCGUAAAGAGCGUGUAGGCGGUCCGGUAAGUCGGCUGUGAAAGUCCAGGGCUCAACCCUGGGAUGCCGGUCGAUACUGCCGGACUAGAGUUCGGAAGAGGCGAGUGGAAUUCCCGGUGUAGCGGUGAAAUGCGUAGAUAUCUGGAGGAAUACCGGUGGCGAAGGCGGCAUCCUGGACCGACAUUGACGCUGAUGAGCGAAAGCGUGGGGAGCGAACAGG